RNAcentral lists this ribosomal RNA (415 nucleotides) under Lipomyces arxii. RNAcentral describes it as "SSU rRNA". It matches the Rfam family "Bacterial small subunit ribosomal RNA", at positions 488 to 940 of the family's 1533-position model. The record is from RNAcentral. Lineage: Eukaryota; Fungi; Ascomycota; Lipomycetes; Lipomycetales; Lipomycetaceae.
GUCCUGACCAAAACCUGUGCCAGCAGUCGCGGUAAAACAGGGUGGGCAAGCAUUAAUCAUCAUGAAUGGGUCUAAAGGGUUCGUAGAUGGCUUAAAAAGUCUUUAUUCAAAAGAAAAGAUACUACUAAGCUAGAGUAUUUAUUGGGAAAAAAGUAUUUUUAAAGUUAUAGAGAUGAAAUCCAGAUAUUUAAAAGACUUCCAAAAGCUUAGGCAUUUUUCCAUCAUAUACUGACAUUGAGGAACUAAAGUUAGGGGAGCGAGCCGGAUUCGAUACCCGAGUAGUCCUAGCCGUAAACUAUGAAUGCUAAGUUAAUUGUAAACUAAAGUGAAGACGUUAAGCAUUCCACCUGGAGAGUACGUUUCAACGAAUGAAAUCCAAAACAUUAGGCGGUUGUAGACCCCAGCAGUUAAGCAU